GGCUGUGGAGGUGGCUGUGAGACUGAUUAACCUGGGGACACCUGAAGGACAGUUAUUUGAGUGUCUGUAGAAAUUAGUAAUUUGGGGCUUGGCAGGGCCUGAGUGGUUGUGGGGCCAGUGUGGGGAAUUGGUUGAUUGGGGACUUCUAGGGUGGAUCAUUGGAAGGGGCCUUUGGGGGUCAGUUUUGAAGCCUUGUGGAGUUUAGCAAUCGAGUGUUGGAGGUGGGGCGGGCAGAGAUUGGGAGUGAGGGAGUCACUGCAUGCAGGCUGCCCUUGGUGAGUGAGGUGCGUGGAUCAGGAGCCUUGGAGGUGAGUGUAGCUCAUGGUGAGGGUUUGUAUGAGUAACUAGGAUUCUGGUGACCAACGAAUUGGAUAUCUUUGCGUUAAUAACUGGAGGCCAGUGUGUAUGAGUGACUGAGAUGGCCAGAAAUGAGUGGUCAAGGAUCCUUUCUAGGCCACGUUUGGGGGCUUGAAAUUGAGGCAUCAGAGUUUGGGGAACUGUGGGUCAGGGCAAGGGGGUCUCUAUAUAAACGGCAGGUCUGUUGGCGGUGGUGAUUGCGAGGAUGUGGAAUAGUAAUUGCAGGCCUUUUGUUGGGAGUCAUUGCAGGGGGUGCCUGAGAUGUCAGUAUUUGUGGACAGUGGGAAGCCCUUUCAGAAUGACAAUUAGAAAGCCAUAUGGGAGUGUCAGUGGAUGAUGAGUGAGCAUGGGGUGCAUCAGAGAAUGGGGUGUCACGUGGGGUGAAUGCUUGGAGGCCCUGUGGGAUAAGGGAUUGUUUGGGGUUUAGUGAUGGGGCUACUUUACGCAGCUUGUGGUGAUAAGAAACAGUGAAAUGUCAAUAAUGGGGGUUUUGCGAGAGCAGCGACUGGGUACCUGUUAAGGUGAGCGAGUGGAUGUCUGUAGGAGAGAGUGACUGGAGUUCUGGGGGUGGGGUCCUUUGGUAUGCAGCGUUUGGGGCACAUUUGCGGUCAAUGAAUAGACAAUCUGUGGAGAUUAUUAAAUGGGGGCAUUAGGGGGAGUCAGUGGGGUGUCUUAGGAUCAGAGUUUAGAAGGUAGGCUCUUCAUCUUUCUGAGCUCAGCUGAACAUUACCUCCUCUGAGAGGCCUUCUGUGCCUGUACUGAAGGAAUACUUUUCCUCCAGAGGCGGCGGUGGUUGUUAGUUGCGUGGAGUCAACUCUGACUCGUGGUGCCCCCACAUGUGCACAGUAGAACCGCCCCACAGGGUUUUCAAGACUGAUCUUUGAGAAGUAGAUCUCCAGGCCUCUAAAGGUGCCUCUAAACCCACUGCCAUCAAGUCGAUUCCGGCUCAUAGCGAUCCUGUAAGACAGAGUAGGACUGCCCCACAGGGUUUCCAAAGAAUGCCUGGUGGAUUUGAAUUGCCAACCCUUUGGUUGGCAGCCGAACUCUUAACCGCUGUGCCACCAGGGCUGGGUGGUUCAAACUGCCAACCUUUUGGCCAGUAGUUGAGCACUUAGCUGUUUGUGCCACCCAGGGACUCCAUCCACACAUUACUCUGUCACGUUAUUCUUCUGAGCACUCUCACAGUUUGAAAUUAUUUUAUUUACUUUGUUUCCCACUCUUGAAUGUAUUUCCUAGAGGACAGGGAAGUCCCACCCCUGUGCCCAGAACAGUGCCUAGUGCAUAACAGGCACUCAGCAGCAGCUGCUUCCUUGACCAAUAAAUGAGUCUUUGGGAAUGUGUGUAUGUUUGUGUGAGUGUGUGCAUGUGUGUGAGUGUAUGUGAAACUUGGUGUGAUUGAGAGUUAGGUGUAUGUCGGGAUACUGAAAGAGGAAGCCUUGGUGACUGCUUUUGGAUGUUAGUAGAAAUAGGCACUCACUCCCUUUCCCAGGAGAAGUAGCAGAUUUCUGAGGGGAAGGGCAGGCAGUAUUUGUCCCAAGGUGGGGUGAGGAAGAAGCAACAGAAAAGCUUUCCUUAGACUUCUCGGUGCCUCUCUGGUUGCAAGUGUUCUAGGCUGCAGCCAAACCCUGCUUAGCCCCAAACCCACGCUUAGGCAGUUAGCUUCACCACAGCUGCAGUCUCACCUGGGGUCUCUGUUUCCUCUUAUUACUGUUACUUCCUCCAUCUAUGCUUUCCUUUUGCCCCAGGGCUGAUUUGGGGGAAGGAAACCAGCACCCCAGGCUAAUCCACCACUUUCAUUUUGAUCUUUACCCCUUUUUUGUUUACCAUCUUGUCUAGAAGUGAGUUGAACUUUACUCCAUAGCAUCCUUGAAAAUAAUGUAUUUCAUUUAAGUGUCCCUAGGAAAUAUUGCUGGAGAAUGAGUGAGCCAUCAUUGUAUUUCCAGAAUUUCUUGAUGUCCUUGCAGAGCGGUUUGGUGUGGUGGUGCUGCCCAGUGCGGGUGUUUGCUGGAACCAGUGAGGUGGGUGGUUUCAUUCUCGUGUGUAUGGGUGAGACCCACUGUUGCUAAGUGAGAUGCAUAGGGUAGACCUGGCCCAGAUGCCGGUCACACUCCAUUGAGAUCCACCAGUUGCUCACAUUCCAUCCUAUUUCCUUCCCCACCACCGCUUAUUUCAGUCUACAGACAUUUGAUCUGAGGCUUUAGAUAUGAGUUACCAACAAGACGAAGACAAGAUGUAGGACCCCAAAUUAGUUACAUCAUCCAAAAUAAAUUUCCACUGAGUCCACAGGCCAUGGCACUCAGGAACAAGACAGUUUGCAUGAGCUAAGAGAGAAGAGGCCUCAGGACCAGGAAUGCAUUCUCAGCGUACAGACCUUUGAACAGAGGCUCUCCACGGAACGACAGGACGGAGAAGUCACAGCACACAGCAAGGACCCCAGGAGCAGCAGAAAAUGAUCAAGUCACAGGUGGGUUGAGACCAAUUGAUGCAUCUUAGAUGGCCGCUUGCUGCCAUUUAAGACCCCAGAUGCCACUCUCCAAAUGUGGGGUAUAUCUUGAGUCAUUGACUUUUGAGAUACGAAAGAGAUUGAACUAGCAAGUGAGAGAAGCAGACAUAGAAAAAGAUUGAUGCCAAGCCACGUGGAGAUCUCCAAGGAACCAGGAAAUAGAAGCUGAAGAGACAAGGAACUUCCCCCAGAGCUGACAGAGAGAGAAAGCCUUCCCCUAGAGCUGGUGCCCUGAAUUUGGACAUCUAGCCUCCUAAACUUUGAGAAAAUAAAUUUUUGUUCGUUAAAGCCACCACUUGUGGUAUUUCUGUUACAGCAGCACAAGAUAACUAAGACACCGUGUAACAAAUUAUCACAGACCUGAGAAGCUGAAAACAACAAACAUCUCAUCAUUUCUGUGUGUUAGGACUCCGGCAGCAGAUUACCCAGGUAUCAUUUGAGGAUGUGGCUGUGGAUUUCACAUUGGAGGAAUGGCAGCUGCUUAAUCCUUCUCAAAAGAACUUAUACAGAGAUGUGAUGCUGGAGAACUACAGCAAUAUAGUUUUCUUGGACAAACAACAACCAACGUAAUUCAUCACCUGCAGACCUGCCUGCAGGAAAUAUUAAAGGAAGUUCUUUGGGCAGCAGGAAGGUAAUACCACAUGGAAAUCUGGAUUCUACACAAAACGGUGACUAUAUAGGUAAAUAUAAAAAAGUUCUUUUUCUCAUUUCAAAAUCUUUUAGGAAGGUAGCUGACUGCUUGAAGCAAAAGUAAUAAAAAUAUAUUUGGGGUUUAUGAUCUAUUUAGAAGUAAAAUGUAUGACAAUAGCACCUAAGUAUGACGCUUUCAAAAUACUUUGAAUAGACUGCCUCCUCUGAAUCAGAAACCUGUUUCCUCACAGCUCAGGUUGACUUGUGUUUGUAGCAACUACACAAGAGAAUUUAAUGUAUUAUGGGUCUUUGUAUGUGCUGACUAUGCUUUCCUUCCCCAGACCUGUUCCCCUCUUCUCUGCUGUGCCCCCUCAAAGGCUGUCCUCUAGAGGCUGCUUCACCGGGUUUCUGCUUAGGUUUGAACAAUGGGAGGUAGCAGUAAAAGAUCAGAGGGUGAGAGAGAGAGAGGCUGGGGUAUUUAUGACCCUUCCCUCGCAGACAGUGGUUUAGGCAGUGUCUGUGUUCCUCUGUGGCUACAGCUCCCCUUGGACAGCCCCUCUCAUAUGGUUCUAGAUCUCACCAUCUUUCAGUCAACAGCAUUCCCUUUCCUUGCUCUCUAUACUUAAGGGUGAUAAUUGCUUCUGGUUGUUUGACCAUCCCUUGUUGGUUUCCUUAAUUCUGAACACAUUUCUUGAAAUAGUCCCUUCAUUAAAUUUUCUUGAGUUAACUCUUUGUGCCAUUUAUUUCCUGUGCCAUGUUUUAAACGAUGAACAUUUAAGACAAUUGUGAGCAUGGUACUGUUAACGGGUACCUCACAGAGCCUAGACUGACAUCUACCAAGACUUCCCACACUGAACAUUAGUGUUUUCUCUUUGUAUUUUAACAGUGCAGGUAAAGUUACAACUGAUUACAUAGUUCUCUGUGCCCUUUUUUGCUGUAUAUGUAAAUGGUCUGGAAAUUAUUACCAUCUGCUACAUAUGUAAAUAGGCUUGCCAUUAUUACUCAACUCCUUGUCAAUAAUAGGAACCAGAAGGUUUUUGAAGGCUUAUAUGCUACCUCUGAGUUGGCCAAACAACUUAUAAAAGCACGGUUAUUUCUGUUAAAUAUCUACCGACAAGAAACAACAGGUACUAAGUGAAGAAAGACAUGAUGUACCAUAUUUCUCAGUACUCUAAUUUUAAAAAGCUGUGCUAUACAAUGAAAAUAUCCUCAGCGCAUAUCCUGCUGUUUUUUGUUACGUAUAAUCCAUGUAAUCUGUAACCCAUGAACAAGAUUUUCCAAUAUGGUAACAUUUCCAUUUUGGUCGGAAUUACUGUAGAGAGCCUCUUCAGAUCCUCCACACGGUCUUUCCCAGCAGGUCCCUCACAAAGACUGUACAAAAAGAAAGUCAGCUCUUCAAGGAUACACCAUAGUCCCCUCACUUUUAAUCUCAUAAAGCAUACCAAAGAGGCCCAUCAUUUACCAAAUAUCACCCUAAGAACUUCACUCCUGCAUAUCCUUUCUUGACUACUCACUCUCUCCUAUUGGCAUACAAACCUCAUCUGAAAGGAAAUAAUUACCAUGUAGCUACCCGGCAGUUUUCCUCUCCUGGUUGAGUUUGCAUUUCAACUUUCAUUUUGAAAUAGGCUCUUUAUACAGGUUUUCCUCAUUGUACAGCUCCGAGAGGCACCAUUUACAUUGUACUCUGUGUUAACAAAGUUGUGGAACUCUCUGGCCUGCCUUUAAGGCAUUAGCUAACUAAUAAAUCUUUGGAGACUUGGGCAUAAUUGGAAUACAACACUGUGACCAUCACCUGUAAUCAUUUCUUUGUAAUAGUGCUAUAUGAUGUAUAUAUGACAGCGAAAUGGUUUCCACCAUCAGGACUCCCCCCGGCUCCUUUUAUUUGCCACACAGUGAAGACACGAUGAGGCACUCACUCACUCUCAUUAUUGUAGAAAAACUUAUUUACCUCAUGAUGCCUGUCUGCAACUUGGGAACAGCCAAUGUAACGUCUCACGGCCAGCUCAAAAGAACGAAAUUCAACUAAGCUAUUGUCUGAAGUGGAGGAGUCCUGAUGGCACAGUGAUUAAGCCAUAAGCUACUAAACAAAAGGUCAGUGGUUCAAACCCACUAGCUGCUCUGAAGAAGAAAGAUGUGGCAAUCUGCUUUCAUAAAGAUUACAGCCUUGGAAACCCUACGGGGCAGUUCUACUCUGUCCUAUAGGAUCACUAUGACUCAGAAUCAACUUGGCAGCAACAGGUUUGGUUUUGGGCUUUGUUUUAUCUAACAUACAUUCUCCACCUUACAGUUUCCCUCUGAGUCAUCUUUCUCACACACCCCAGUACCACAACAAUGCACGUACCUUAAUAAGCAGUGGAUUUGUUUUGAGGCCAAACCUAUGAAUUUGGUGAUACUAUCUAAUAGUUUUUCAUUUUCUCUUGGGAUCUUUGCAACUUAGAACACAAUUAUUACUCAUCGUAUCCAGGUAGAUUUGACAUCUUGCCAUGGAGACUGUUACUUUCAGAAAGCUACGAUUAAAUAAACCAGAGAACACGAAAUUUAUGUAAUAAUCCCUAAGUCAUUAAAGGUGCCCAACAAAGAGAGUGUUGCCAUAGAAGCCUUUACCGUGAAGAUGAAAGGAAGAGAAAUACAAGUGAAGGGACGUUUAUAAUUUGAGGUUCUCAUUGAAAGCAUUUCUGUCAUUAAAAAUACUUGUGAAAAACAAAUCAAGCUCAGAUUUAUAAAAAAUGGUGGGGAGCUGAUGAACUUUUAAGUGCUUCUCAGAGAAUAACCAUGUGAGGAGAUCAUUCAAGCCAGGGACGACUUCCACUACAGCCACCCAAAUGCAGCACAGCUUUAUCCCCAAACCAUGAAGCUUUCACGGCAGCUCCCUGGGGACAUAAACAAGCUACCUAGGAUGUAUUCUCCUGUGUAUGCUGUGAGUGUAAAACGCUGUCAGAUCGUAAUGAUGCUGUGUUUCACAUCCGAGGAGAAGGUAACUAGCUGCCUGAAGAAGACUGGAAUGCUGUCCAUUCUAGGGGAGGAGCACCUGUGUGUGGCUGCCAUUGUCCUCACUGACCACUGCAUCUUCCUGAGAUCAGGGCAGGCAGGGAGAGCUGUGCUAGCUCAGACCUGCUGAUGCUUCCUUCUGUGCUGUUUAAAAAAAAACUCUGUACCUAUAUGUUUACUGAGUAAACUAUUGAAUGAAUUAAUAUGUGUGAGUGUAGUCAUUGCAAACAAUUUACAAAUAAAUGCUGGCUUGCAUUCUAACUAGGCAUCCCGAUCUAAAUAUGAAUUUUCGUCAGUUCCCAACAUUUUAUAACCCAGAUACCCCUAAAACACCAAGAGAAAAGCACCUCAUGUUUCGGCAGGAGUUACUGGUGGUGUUGGUGGUCUUUGGUACUCCUCCCACACGAUAAUGGUGAGACCUAAUCCUUUUUAAAUUGAGAACAAGAGAAGAAUUGUCACUUGUUUUUAUCAAAUAUAUACAUGCAUAUAGUUUAAGAAAGAACUUACUUUACGAAGUUUGUUCUGAGAAAACUGCCCUUUCCCCCUUCUCUCGCCCAUGUAUCUGGAGCGUGUCAUUGGAGGAUCUGUCUCGUGGGAGUUGAGGAUUUGGCUCUUUUACUUCUUCCACACAUGCACACUCUGCCCAUCCCCUCCUGCUCCCAAAAACAGUCUACGGUUAGAGCAGUAUUCAGUACUGACACAAUAUAAUUAUGUAGACAAUUUCUCUUAGAAUUUUGAAUUUGAUGUUAUAUUGUCUUCUAGCUUCCGGCAUGAAGCAUUUCUGGUCCUUUGAUGUGACCUGAUUUUCUCCCUGGGAACUUAGUUGAUAAUU
Loxodonta africana (African savanna elephant) is the source of this 7310-nucleotide RNA transcript. It is a transcript of the gene named zinc finger protein 605, with no coding region annotated. The transcript is spliced from 4 exons. Lineage: Eukaryota; Metazoa; Chordata; Mammalia; Proboscidea; Elephantidae. The record is from RefSeq and is a predicted model, not a curated record.